This 597-nucleotide long non-coding RNA is filed under the name Marmota monax (woodchuck). Lineage: Eukaryota; Metazoa; Chordata; Mammalia; Rodentia; Sciuridae. The record is from RNAcentral.
GGUCCUCGUGCGCGUCGGCCUGGCCUUGGCGUGCGGGGUCAGUAGCGCGACGCUUUGUUUAAUGUUCUUUACUUGGCCGUGCAAAUAACGUCAGUGUCCCCAGAGCAGAGUGACGCGCUGUUAGAUUACAGUCACCAACUGUGUAGAUCUAAGGGCCAGCUUUCUAGAAGGACUUCAGUUUGAAUGUUUGACAGUGAUUAUUUACAGUGUUUCCUUACAGUAGGAUAGUGAGAUGGAACAAAAACAUUUUCGCUCAAACCCAUAUCUUUAGCCAACAAUAUUGAAUAUCUAUAUGAUGUGCUUUGAAAUAUUUCUUUACCGAACUUAUAAACAUUACCAAAUCAGCAAAAGAACUUUAUUUCGUUUUAAAUCCAGCCUUUAUUUAAAAACAUUUAUCCAACACAUUGGGAAGAAAGAAAAGUACAUAUUAUUUGUGUACAGAAUGUGUAUAUGUCAAAUUCGUGUAUUAACGUUUAAAACAUUAAAUUCAGCAUGAAACAAUUAGCAUGACUGUACUGAAGAACUACGAUAUUAUUUUGUAGUUUAGUAUAAUCAGUAAAGGGUAGGAAUGGAAGACUGACCUUUUUAAUAAAAAUU